AAGGUCCUUGUGGUGGCCAAGGUGGUCCAAGAUGAUCUAAAGGUCAUCCAAGGUGGCCUGAAGGUCCUUGUGGUGGCCAAGGUGGCCUGAAGGUCAUUCAAGGUGGACCAAGGUGGUCCAAGGGUCAUUCAUGGUGGGCCAAGAGUUGUCCAAGGUGGUCCAAGGGUCAUCCAAGGUGGUCCAAAGGUUGUCCAAGAUGGUCCAAGGGUCAUCCAAGGUGGCCUGAAGGUCAUUUGAGAUGGUCCAAGGUGAUCUAAAAGUCAUCCAA
RNAcentral lists this long non-coding RNA (268 nucleotides) under Zonotrichia albicollis (white-throated sparrow). RNAcentral describes it as "lncRNA (ENSZALG00000001090.1)". The record is from RNAcentral. Lineage: Eukaryota; Metazoa; Chordata; Aves; Passeriformes; Passerellidae.